This 1304-nucleotide long non-coding RNA is filed under the name Gossypium barbadense (sea-island cotton). Its description in RNAcentral is "long non-coding RNA (GBAR_LNC018708)". Lineage: Eukaryota; Viridiplantae; Streptophyta; Magnoliopsida; Malvales; Malvaceae. The record is from RNAcentral.
UACAGGAAAUUAUGGCUACUAAAUCUUCCCUUAAAAAUCAAAAUUACAAUCUGAAAGAUAUCGUGAAAUUUUUUACCUACACGAGUUAAUCUAGUUCAGAAAAAGCUAAUAAACAUUACAGUGUGUCCACGAUGUGGAGUUGGUUCAGAGAGUAUGAAUCACCUUUUCCACGAAUGCCCUGUGUCAAAAUCAGUAUGGAAGGAAUUACCAUGUAAUGCUAUGGUGCAAGAACAACAGAUGGAGUUUACAGAGUGGCUCACCGAAGUUUUUGCGAAGAACUCGGAAUCUCAGUGUAGGAUGUUUUGUUGUACUUUAUGGGCUAUAUGGGGAGACCGAAAUAAUAGAGUGCAUAAUAAAGUGAGCAAAUCUGGAAAAGAAAUAAGUAGAUUUGUUAGUAGCUACAUACAAGAGUUGGAUGGGAUAGGAAAAAGUAAAGCAGAAGCUUAUAAAUCUACAAGCAAAUGGAAGAAGCCACCUGACCAGAUUGUGAAGAUAAACUUUGAUGCAGCAUAUGACGGAAAGAGUAAGCAAUCGGCGGUGGGGAUUGUGGCUAGAGACAACGAAGGUAAGGUCUUACUCUCAUGCUCGAUGAUUUACCAAUAGGUGGCAUCCCCUUUUGCAGCAGAGGCGCUCGCAAGCCGGAAAGCGAUCAAAAUAGGUAAAGAAAUGAAAUGGAGAAAAAUCAUUAUUGAAGGAGAUUCACUAUCGAUAAUAAAGAAAUGCAGAUCUAAUAUCCCAGAUAAAUCAAAGGUGUGUGCCUAUAUCAGUGAUAUUCAUAAGCUACAAUCAAGUUUCCAGGAAUAUAGAUUUGAACAUGUUCCAAGAGCAGUAAACAGCCUUGCGCAUAUGAUAGAAAAAGCAACGUUGAGGGAUAAACGAAUAUUAUACCUGGUUGAGGGAGUCCCAGAAUAUGCAAAAGAUCAGAAUGGGAGGGAUCGGGGGGGGGGGGAAUCGGAUUGAAUGAUAGGGAUGAAAAUGAAAUGGGUAAACCGAGAGGUAGCAGGUAAAGCAAUGACAGAAUAAGGGGUUUCCUCGGGAGUAUGAUUUCAUCAUGAAGAAGUUUUGGCAGGUGAAGGAACAAGACGAUUAAAAGUUUUGAUGCUGAUUGGGAAAGAUUUUACAGCAGCAUUAAUGGCUUCCAGAAGGUUCAGUUAUGCUGCUUUUUAGGAUCUAAUGGUAGUAGCCUUUUGACGUUUCAGUUUUUUCAUUUUUUAUUGUUUUGUUUUGGUGAUAGGAUCAAGGCUCAAACCGGGCCUGGACUGGUUCUGUUUUUGUUUUUUCAUUUUUGAAUUCAAUAAUACAGC